Molecule: long non-coding RNA, 405 nt
Organism: Oxyura jamaicensis (ruddy duck)
Lineage: Eukaryota; Metazoa; Chordata; Aves; Anseriformes; Anatidae
Exons: 3
Source: RefSeq, a predicted model, not a curated record
GAACGGACUAGCACUACAAGUGAAGAAACUACAAGAAGUGGAAAGAACACGGAAAACUAAGCUUUUCAACAUUUUGGGUCAAUUUACAGAAGAAGUUUAAUAACAUCAUUUGUCACUGAGAAUCAAUGAUAAAGUUUUUACAAAAAUCUCUAAACUGGGGUUGAUACAUAAAAAACAACUGCAAGCAAGGAAAAUGCACUGGCAUUUAAACACCGAAGAUUACACUAAUUCCCAGGAGCUGACAUCUUACUUCAAACAAUCUCAGCCCAUGAUGAGCAAGAGCCCAAACUGCCCUGUUUUCUGCCAGCAACAGACAGAUCCAACUCGAACGGAAAGAGCACUGACAGGAUUUCACAAACUGCAAAUUAAGUGGGAUCUUUUCCUGUAGGGACUGAUGCUGCUUAU